UGAACGCUGGCGGCGUGCCUAAUACAUGCACGUCGCGCGAACAGACGAGGAGCUUGCUCCUCUGACGUUAGCGGCGGACGGGUGAGUAACACGUGGAUAACCUACCUAUAAGACUGGGAUAACUUCGGGAAACCGGAGCUAAUACCGGAUAAUAUAUUGAACCGCAUGGUUCACUAGUGAAAGACGGUUUUGCUGUCACUUAUAGAUGGAUCCGCGCCGCAUUAGCUAGUUGGUAAGGUAACGGCUUACCAAGGCAACGAUGCGUAGCCGACCUGAGAGGGUGAUCGGCCACACUGGAACUGAGACACGGUCCAGACUCCUACGGGAGGCAGCAGUAGGGAAUCUUCCGCAAUGGGCGAAAGCCUGACGGAGCAACGCCGCGUGAGUGAUGAAGGUCUUCGGAUCGUAAAACUCUGUUAUUAGGGAAGAACAAAUGUGUAAGUAACUAUGCACGUCUUGACGGUACCUAAUCAGAAAGCCACGGCUAACUACGUG
RNAcentral lists this ribosomal RNA (495 nucleotides) under uncultured bacterium. RNAcentral describes it as "partial 16S ribosomal RNA". It matches the Rfam family "Bacterial small subunit ribosomal RNA", at positions 30 to 507 of the family's 1533-position model. The record is from RNAcentral.